AUUGAACGCUGGCGGCAGGCCUAACACAUGCAAGUCGAGCGGAUGAAGGGAGCUUGCUCCUGGAUUCAGCGGCGGACGGGUGAGUAAUGCCUAGGAAUCUGCCUGGUAGUGGGGGAUAACGUCCGGAAACGGGCGCUAAUACCGCAUACGUCCUGAGGGAGAAAGUGGGGGAUCUUCGGACCUCACGCUAUCAGAUGAGCCUAGGUCGGAUUAGCUAGUUGGUGGGGUAAAGGCCUACCAAGGCGACGAUCCGUAACUGGUCUGAGAGGAUGAUCAGUCACACUGGAACUGAGACACGGUCCAGACUCCUACGGGAGGCAGCAGUGGGGAAUAGUGGACGAUGGGCCAAAUCCUGAUCCAGCCAUGCCGCGUGUGUGAAGAAGGUCUUCGGAUUGUAAAGCACUUUAAGUUGGGAGGAAGGGCAGUAAGUUAAUACCUUGCUGUUUUGACGUUACCAACAGAAUAAGCACCGGCUAACUUCGUG
RNAcentral lists this ribosomal RNA (484 nucleotides) under uncultured bacterium. RNAcentral describes it as "partial 16S ribosomal RNA". It matches the Rfam family "Bacterial small subunit ribosomal RNA", at positions 30 to 507 of the family's 1533-position model. The record is from RNAcentral.